UACGUAGGGUGCAAGCGUUGUCCGGAAUUAUUGGGCGUAAAGAGCUCGUAGGCGGUCUGUCGCGUCUGCUGUGAAAACUCAGGGCUUAACCCUGAGCUUGCAGUGGGUACGGGCAGACUAGAGUGCGGUAGGGGAGACUGGAAUUCCUGGUGUAGCGGUGAAAUGCGCAGAUAUCAGGAGGAACACCGGUGGGCGAAAGGCGGGUCUCUGGGCCGGUAACUGA
This 223-nucleotide ribosomal RNA is filed under the name uncultured bacterium. Its description in RNAcentral is "partial 16S ribosomal RNA". It matches the Rfam family "Bacterial small subunit ribosomal RNA", at positions 524 to 743 of the family's 1533-position model. The record is from RNAcentral.